GAAUGGAUUAAGAGCUUGCUCUUAUGAAGUUAGCGGCGGACGGGUGUAGUAACACGGUGGGUAACCUGCCCAUAAGACUGGGAUAACUCCGGGAAACCGGGGCUAAUACCGGAUAACAUUUUGAACCGCAUGGUUCGAAAUUGAAAGGCGGCUUCGGCUGUCACUUAUGGAUGGACCCGCGUCGCAUUAGCUAGUUGGUGAGGUAACGGCUCACCAAGGCAACGAUGCGUAGCCGACCUGAGAGGGUGAUCGGCCACACUGGGACUGAGACACGGCCCAGACUCCUACGGGAGGCAGCAGUAGGGAAUCUUCCGCAAUGGACGAAAGUCUGACGGAGCAACGCCGCGUGAGUGAUGAAGGCUUUCGGGUCGUAAAACUCUGUUGUUAGGGAAGAACAAGUGCUAGUUGAAUAAGCUGGCACCUUGACGGUACCUAACCAGAAAGCCACGGCUAACUACGUGCCAGCAGCCGCGGUAAUACGUAGGUGGCAAGCGUUAUCCGGAAUUAUUGGGCGUAAAGCGCGCGCAGGUGGUUUCUUAAGUCUGAUGUGAAAGCCCACGGCUCAACCGUGGAGGGUCAUUGGAAACUGGGAGACUUGAGUGCAGAAGAGGAAAGUGGAAUUCCAUGUGUAGCGGUGAAAUGCGUAGAGAUAUGGAGGAACACCAGUGGCGAAAGGCGAC
This 680-nucleotide ribosomal RNA is filed under the name Bacillus sp. RPAUOCAS1. RNAcentral describes it as "bacterial SSU rRNA". It matches the Rfam family "Bacterial small subunit ribosomal RNA", at positions 68 to 725 of the family's 1533-position model. The record is from RNAcentral. Lineage: Bacteria; Bacillati; Bacillota; Bacilli; Caryophanales; Bacillaceae.